RNAcentral lists this ribosomal RNA (489 nucleotides) under uncultured Chloroflexota bacterium. Its description in RNAcentral is "bacterial SSU rRNA". It matches the Rfam family "Bacterial small subunit ribosomal RNA", at positions 46 to 526 of the family's 1533-position model. Lineage: Bacteria; Bacillati; Chloroflexota. The record is from RNAcentral.
GCUUAACACAUGCAAGUCGAGCGACGAACCAGGCUUCGGCCUGGGGAAAGCCGCGAACGGGUGAGUAACACGUGGGUAACCUGCCCCGAUGAUUGGGAUAACCCGAGGAAACUCGAGCUAAUACCAAAUGUGUCCGCUAUCCAUAAGGAUGGCGCGUAAAGGUAGCUUCGGCUUCCGCAUCGGGAGGGGCCCGCGGCCCAUUAGCUUGUUGGUGUGGGUAACGGCCCACCAAGCCUUCGAUCAGUAACUGGUGUGAGAGCACGACCAGUCACACGGGCACUGAGACACGGGCCCGACUCCUACGGGAGGCAGCAGUAAGGAAUAUUGGUCAAUGGAGGCAACUCUGAACCAGCCAUGCCGCGUGAAGGAUGAAGGUCCUCUGGAUUGUAAACUUCUUUUAUGUGGGACGAAAUGCAUUUCUUCUAAAGUGUUUGACGGUACCAUAGGAAUAAGCACCGGCUAACUCCGUGCCAGCAGCCGCGGUAAUUC